GAUGAACGCUAGCGGCAGGCUUAAUACAUGCAAGUCGAACGGUAAGUGUAGUAGCAAUACUAUACGAGAGUGACGUACGGGUGCGUAACACGUAUGCAACCUACCUUGUACAGGAGGAUAGCUCGGGGAAACUCGAAUUAACCCUCCAUAAGAUAGUGGUGAGGCAUCUCAUAGCUAUUAAAACUCAGGUGGUACAAGAU
RNAcentral lists this ribosomal RNA (200 nucleotides) under uncultured bacterium. RNAcentral's name for it is "partial 16S ribosomal RNA". It matches the Rfam family "Bacterial small subunit ribosomal RNA", at positions 28 to 226 of the family's 1533-position model. The record is from RNAcentral.